Molecule: ribosomal RNA, 253 nt
Filed under: uncultured bacterium
Lineage: Bacteria
Description: partial 16S ribosomal RNA
Rfam family: Bacterial small subunit ribosomal RNA
Source: RNAcentral
UACGUAGGUGGCAAGCGUUGUCCGGAAUUAUUGGGCGUAAAGCGCGCGCAGGCGGUCCUUUAAGUCUGAUGUGAAAGCCCACGGCUCAACCGUGGAGGGUCAUUGGAAACUGGGGGACUUGAGUACAGAAGAGAAGAGUGGAAUUCCACGUGUAGCGGUGAAAUGCGUAGAGAUGUGGAGGAACACCAGUGGCGAAGGCGGCUCUCUGGGACGGUACUGACGCUGAGACGCGAAAGCGUGGGGAGCGAACAGG